AGAGUUUGAUCCUGGCUCAGAACAAACGCUGGCGGCGUGCUUAACACAUGCAAGUCGCACGAGAAAUCUUGAGCAAUCGAGAGAGUAAAGUGGCGCACGGGUGAGUAGCGCGUGGGUAACCUACCCUUGGGUUGGGGAUAACUCCUCGAAAGGGGUGCUAAUACCGGGUAAUAUUCUAGUCUCUUCGGAGAUUAGAAUCAAAGGGGGCCUCUGCAUGCAAGCUUCCGCCCAAGGAUGGGCCCGCGUACCAUUAGCUAGUUGGUAGGGUAACGGCCUACCAAGGCGACGAUGGUUAGCUGGUCUGAGAGGAUGGCCAGCCACACUGGAACUGAGACACGGUCCAGACUCCUACGGGAGGCAGCAGUGGGGAAUCUUGCGCAAUGGGGGAAACCCUGACGCAGCAACGCCGCGUGGGUGAUGAAGGCCUUCGGGUCGUAAAGCCCUGUCAGGUGGAAAGAACCGUGUCGGUACGAACAAUACCGACGCUUGACGGUACCACCGGAGGAAGCACCGGCUAACUCCGUGCCAGCAGCCGCGGUAAUACGGAGGGUGCAAGCGUUGUUCGGAAUUACUGGGCGUAAAGCGCGUGUAGGCGGUUAGGCAAGUCAGAUGUGAAAGCCUUUCGCUUAACGGAAGAAUUGCAUUUGAAACUACCUGGCUGGAGUUCGGGAGAGGAGAGUGGAAUUCCCGGUGUAGAGGUGAAAUUCGUAGAUAUCGGGAGGAACACCGGUGGCGAAGGCGGCUCUCUGGCCCGAUACUGACGCUGAGACGCGAAAGCGUGGGGGAGCAAACAGGAUUAG
This 800-nucleotide ribosomal RNA is filed under the name uncultured bacterium. Its description in RNAcentral is "bacterial SSU rRNA". It matches the Rfam family "Bacterial small subunit ribosomal RNA", at positions 8 to 781 of the family's 1533-position model. The record is from RNAcentral.